AUAAUAAUUAGUCUUUUAAUUGAAGGCUAGAAUGAAAGAUUGGACGAGGUAAAUACUGUCUCAUUUAAAUUAAAAAUUGAAUUUAAUUUUUAAGUGAAAAAGCUUAAAUUUUAUUAUAGGACGAGAAGACCCUAUAGAACUUUAUAUAUUUAAAUUUAAUUUUUUUUAAUUUUAAAAAUUAAAAAUAAAUAUAUUUUAUUGGGGCGAUAAGAAAAUUUAAAUAACUUUUUUAAUUUAAUUACAUUAAUUAAUGAAUUGUUGAUCCUAAUUUUUUAGAUUAAUAGAUUAAGUUACCUUAGGGAUAACAGCGUUAUUUUUUUUAAAAGUUCAUAUUUAUGAAAAAGAUUGC
RNAcentral lists this ribosomal RNA (349 nucleotides) under Styracotechys dicelysma. Its description in RNAcentral is "partial 16S ribosomal RNA". The record is from RNAcentral. Lineage: Eukaryota; Metazoa; Arthropoda; Insecta; Hymenoptera; Pergidae.